CCUACGGGAGGCAGCAGUCGAGAAUCAUUCACAAUGGGGGAAACUCUGAUGGUGCGACGCCGCGUGGGGGAAUGAAGGUCUUCGGAUUGUAAACUCCUGUCAUGUGGGAGCAAAUCAAAAAGAUAGUACCACUAGAGGAAGAGACGGCUAACUCUGUGCCAGCAGCCGCGGUAAUACAGAGGUCUCAAGCGUUGUUCGGAAUCACUGGGCGUAAAGCGUGCGUAGGCUGUUUCGUAAGUCGUGUGUGAAAGGCGCGGGCUCAACCCGCGGACGGCACAUGAUACUGCGAGACUAGAGUAAUGGAGGGGGGACCGGAAUUCUCGGUGUAGCAGUGAAAUGCGUAGAUAUCGAGAGGAACACUCGUGGCGAAGGCGGGUUCCUGGACAUUAACUGACGCUGAGGCACGAAGGCCAGGGGAGCGAAAGGGAUUAGAUACCCCAGUAGUC
This 446-nucleotide ribosomal RNA is filed under the name uncultured bacterium. RNAcentral describes it as "partial 16S ribosomal RNA". It matches the Rfam family "Bacterial small subunit ribosomal RNA", at positions 338 to 795 of the family's 1533-position model. The record is from RNAcentral.